UACGUAGGGUGCAAGCGUUGUCCGGAAUUAUUGGGCGUAAAGAGCUCGUAGGCGGCUUGUCGCGUCGGCUGUGAAAACCUGGGGCUCAACCCCGGGCCUGCAGCCGAUACGGGCAAGCUAGAAUUCGGUAGGGGAGACUGGAAUUCCUGGUGUAGCGGUGAAAUGCGUAGAUAUCUGGAGGAACACCGGUGGCGAAGGCGGCAUCCUGGACCGGUAUUGACGCUGAUGCGCGAAAGCCAGGGGAGCAAACGGG
This 253-nucleotide ribosomal RNA is filed under the name uncultured bacterium. RNAcentral describes it as "partial 16S ribosomal RNA". It matches the Rfam family "Bacterial small subunit ribosomal RNA", at positions 524 to 776 of the family's 1533-position model. The record is from RNAcentral.